CAGUGUCUCUCUGGGACUUGCAGGACUUGCUGAAGAAGUAUUACUCGGGCAUCCCUGUCUCCCCAGUGCCUCUCAAGGUGGUUCUGGCCCUGGAGCAGUUGAGCAAGCUGAAGCCCUCUUUUGAAAGCAAGGAUGCGGGUGAGAUGUUGGUCCUGUGCUGCAAAAACAUUGUGACACACCCUUCAGCGGAGAUGAUGCUGAAGAUCAGGAAGUCAAAGCAAGCAGCUCAGUACCUGCAGCUUCAGCAAACAUCACUGAAAGCUCUGGGCCGGCUCAUGGCAGUCCUGCUGGAGACAGAGCCCACCGGCAGCUUCUUUCAGAACAUAGU
Non-coding RNA from Meleagris gallopavo (turkey), 328 nucleotides. The record is from RefSeq and is a predicted model, not a curated record. NCBI's taxonomy places the organism in Eukaryota, Metazoa, Chordata, Aves, Galliformes, Phasianidae.